Molecule: non-coding RNA, 118 nt
Filed under: Beta vulgaris subsp. vulgaris (sugar beet)
Lineage: Eukaryota; Viridiplantae; Streptophyta; Magnoliopsida; Caryophyllales; Amaranthaceae
Description: Bacterial small subunit ribosomal RNA
Rfam family: Bacterial small subunit ribosomal RNA
Source: Rfam by way of RNAcentral
CAAGUCCCGAAGGCCCACGGGUCGUGAACUUCUUUUCCCGGAGAAGAAGCAAUGACGGUAUCCGGGGAAUAAGCAUCGGCUAACUCUGUGCCAGCAGCCGCGGUAAGACAGAGGAUGC